Molecule: long non-coding RNA, 1008 nt
Organism: Microplitis mediator
Lineage: Eukaryota; Metazoa; Arthropoda; Insecta; Hymenoptera; Braconidae
Exons: 5
Source: RefSeq, a predicted model, not a curated record
AAAUCACUUAAAAAACGGAAAUCCGAUGCGAAAUAUGAUCCUCAAUAAUAAAGAAAGACAAAGACAAUUGUUUUUGAGAAAGCCAUUUUGAAUUUGGUUCUUUGUUCUUUGUUAAGAAAAAGUUAAAUCAGAUUGAUUUUAUCUGUAUGAUAAUAAUUAUUAAAUUAUUUUUGACAUAAAUAAUGGCAUGACAAUAAUUUUGAAUAAAAAAUUAACAAAAGAAUGUUAAUCUUCACGUAGAUGAUGAAAGAGAAACCACCACCAAAAUCUUGAGCACAAGUUCUCAAAUCGUCGACUCUCAGCAGUGACUCUUCACUGGUAGCUCUAAAAGCUCUCCUGUACUCCGUAGAAAGAUUUUCGAAUUCAUUGUCUUUAUCUCCAUGGUUACGAGAUCCCAAGGUGUCCUUCGGACUAUCUGGUACUCGCCUGCGUCUGUAGCGUGCGAGUUCGUCGACCGUGAGAGUCUCGAGAGCUUUUGGCCAUGGCAGUAAAUCUCGAGCCCUGGUCUUGCUGUCUUUGAAUUUUGACGGGACUACCUCAGAGUCUGAGGAGGACUUUUGAGUCCCCCGCAAUAAAGACCUACGUCUGUAAAUAAACCGGGUGGUUGCCCAGUGCAAACUGAGAUACCUGGUAAAGUUUUCCUAGAAGCAAACCAAGGUGGGGUCGAAGCAUCCAUGUCGAAGAACAGGAAGAGGGUGAUUCGUGAUCCAUGUCAGUGACCAGAAGUCUGAGAAACGGAAUCGUCAUUCAUCAUGAGUUACGGUGCUGCACUAAGGUUCAGUUAGUAGGGUCAGAGAAAGACCUCCUGACCUCGAUUCAAACAGCACCCAAAUAAAUUUACAUAUUUAGGGUAGGCGAAGAUAUCAUUGGCCUAUACAUGACCGACCAAAUGCUUGCUCCAAAAAGGCCAGAACAAAUCAGAAGAAAGCUAUAGUGGAAGAAAAUGAAAUGUUUGAAGAAAUAGAAGGCAUUUUAUUAGGUGCAGACAUCGCCAAUUAAGUUAAGGCA